CCUACGGGUGGCAGCAGUAGGGAAUCUUCCACAAUGGGCGAAAGCCUGAUGGAGCAACGCCGCGUGGGUGAAGAAGGUCUUCGGAUCGUAAAACCCUGUUGUUAGAGAAGAAAGUGCGGGAGAGUAACUGUUCACGUGUCGACGGUAUCGAACCAGAAAGCCACGGCUAACUACGUGCCAGCAGCCGCGGUAAUACGUCGGUGGCAAGCGUUAUCCGGAUUGAUUGGGCGUAAAGGGAACGCAGGCGGUCUUUUAAGUCUGAGGUGAAAGCCUUCGGCUUAACCGGAGUAGUGCAUUGGAAACUUGGAGACUUGAGUGCAGACGAGGAGAGUGCAACUCCCUGUGUAGCGGU
This 352-nucleotide ribosomal RNA is filed under the name uncultured bacterium. Its description in RNAcentral is "partial 16S ribosomal RNA". It matches the Rfam family "Bacterial small subunit ribosomal RNA", at positions 338 to 682 of the family's 1533-position model. The record is from RNAcentral.